RNAcentral lists this ribosomal RNA (900 nucleotides) under uncultured bacterium. RNAcentral describes it as "bacterial SSU rRNA". It matches the Rfam family "Bacterial small subunit ribosomal RNA", at positions 355 to 1248 of the family's 1533-position model. The record is from RNAcentral.
UAGGGAAUCUUCCACAAUGGACGCAAGUCUGAUGGAGCAACGCCGCGUGAGUGAAGAAGGUUUUCGGAUCGUAAAGCUCUGUUGUUGGUGAAGAAGGAUAGAGGUAGUAACUGGCCUUUAUUUGACGGUAAUCAACCAGAAAGUCACGGCUAACUACGUGCCAGCAGCCGCGGUAAUACGUAGGUGGCAAGCGUUGUCCGGAUUUAUUGGGCGUAAAGCGAGCGCAGGCGGAAGAAUAAGUCUGAUGUGAAAGCCCUCGGCUUAACCGAGGAACUGCAUCGGAAACUGUUUUUCUUGAGUGCAGAAGAGGAGAGUGGAACUCCAUGUGUAGCGGUGGAAUGCGUAGAUAUAUGGAAGAACACCAGUGGCGAAGGCGGCUCUCUGGUCUGCAACUGACGCUGAGGCUCGAAAGCAUGGGUAGUGAACAGGAUUAGAUACCCUGGUAGUCCAUGCCGUAAACGAUGAGUGCUAAGUGUUGGGAGGUUUCCGCCUCUCAGUGCUGCAGCUAACGCAUUAAGCACUCCGCCUGGGGAGUACGACCGCAAGGUUGAAACUCAAAGGAAUUGACGGGGGCCCGCACAAGCGGUGGAGCAUGUGGUUUAAUUCGAAGCAACGCGAAGAACCUUACCAGGUCUUGACAUCUAGUGCCAUUUGUAGAGAUACAAAGUUCCCUUCGGGGACGCUAAGACAGGUGGUGCAUGGCUGUCGUCAGCUCGUGUCGUGAGAUGUUGGGUUAAGUCCCGCAACGAGCGCAACCCUUGUUAUUAGUUGCCAGCAUUAAGUUGGGCACUCUAAUGAGACUGCCGGUGACAAACCGGAGGAAGGUGGGGAUGACGUCAAGUCAUCAUGCCCCUUAUGACCUGGGCUACACACGUGCUACAAUGGGCAGUACAACGAGAA